AGUUUUCCCACCCAGCUGAGUUUUGUCAUGAAGUCGGGAAUUGUGAGCUUAUAUGUGCAGUUGAUAUCCGCAACAGCAAGUGUCAAAACUACACACUUAAGAAGAAAAAGGGUUACUAUUUUGAGUUAUAACUAAGAAAGAUAGAAAGGAAUAAAUAAGACGAUAGGACUAUUAGUGACUCUUUCCCAGGACAGCAGAGAGCGACAGUAGCUGCAGUGAAGGAGCAAACACCGGUCUUCUCUGAGGUUUCCGAUCAUCUCUUCAGUCACAGAGGACCCAUGCCAGUAUGGGAGCUGCACUUGAAAUUGUACUGUGCAGAGAGUGUGGGAGAACAAUAGAUAUUGACUUUUUGACUUUUCUUAUCAAACUUGUUUUUGGUUUGGAUUUUGGAUGGAACCUGGUAGCUAGGCUUAAAGAAAGGAAUUUAAACUUAUGCAAGCAGUGUUACAGGAGAAAGCAGGAUGCAGAAGAAGAGCAAAUGAGGGAGGAAGAGGAGAGGAAAAGGAGACAAGAGAGGAGACGGAGAGAGGAGGAGGAGACAAGACUGAGGGAGGAGGAAGAAAGGAAAAGGAGACAAGAGGAGGAGAGAAGGAGAAAGGAGGAGAAAAGAUUAAUGGAGGAGGAGAAGAGACAGAUGGAGGAGGAGAGAAGAGAGAAGCAGGAGGAGGAGAGGAGAAUAAGGGAAGUGGGGUUUAGUCUGGAAAAGACUCAGACUGAGUUGCAGGAAAAGAGGAGAAAUGAGAGGAGAGCAGAGGAGGAGAGGCGUGAAACCACAGUGGUCACAGAGACAUUCCAGUCACAGUGCCGCUCCCCAGAGAGCAGACAGCCAGACAGAGGAUUACUCAGCAUCCUGUCUCAAAAGUGUGGAAUCCCUGAGGGAGACAUAGAUCUCCGAAGACUCCGACCCCAGCAGGUCCUGUCCCUUUCUCGCUCUCUCCGGGAGCUCCUGUUCCAGGAAUGGGAGGAGCAGCCACCCCCGAUGGACACACUGACUCACACUCAGGUCCUGCUCGCAGAGCUUUGUGUGAUGGCGCUGGACACUCACAGCGAUGCCUCUCUGGAGUGUGCUGCUGACCAGCUGCAGCUGGCAGUACAGACAGUGGGAUAUGCAGUGACGGUGGCAGUAGUUGAGGAAGAGGAGUGGCAAUAUCUCAACUUCACACAGGCCCUGUUCUUGACUUUCACUAAUCUCUUUGAGGACAGGCCUGAUUCCCAGCUGAGUGUCUUCUCUGUGGCUAAUGAAUGGAGUCAGGAAGACAUCUCCUUGGAGCAGCUCUUCCUUGCCAAGUUUCUGGAGCUCCUCCUCAGAGCCCUGGAAAAGGAAACAGGCCCAGUUUUGGGUGUCCAGGAGAAGUGUCUGGAGCUGAUACUAGAUGCUAUAGGGCAGUGGCCACUUACAGAAACCGAUUCCUUUGCUGCUCUGUCUCCAGCAGUACUGGCACUUUUGGAUGUUAACUGGACAUCCCUGGAGGCACUGGACUUAAUAGGGAGUUUAGCACAGAAUAGGGUGAGCCCUAGUGGUGCGCUCUGUGUCCUAGACCUGGUGGAACGGCACAAUCUGCCCUCAUCCUGGAGAGACAAGCAGGGCCACUCAUUAAACACCCUGCUGGAGUCAACAUGUGAUUUCAACACAUUUUACUCUGGUUUAGACAAGGAGCUGCAGAAGGAAUGCACACAUAACCUGGAGUUCCUCCUUACCCAGGUGCCAGAACGACGGUGGAGUGUGAUCAAUACCGUGCACAAAGAAAUGAAAGACAAUCAGUGUGAAAUUAAAGAUAAAGUCAAUGCAGUUAUAUCUCACAAAAGCCUUUACAGGGGCUCUUUGAGAGGCUCCAAAUUUGGGCAAACAGAGCUGAAGAUACUACUUUCCAUCCUGAGCAGAGCAGUGCUCCACACACAGGGCAGGGGGCCCACAGUAGCUCAAAUGGUCAGAUGGUGUAACCUGGCCAUUAAUAACAGCGACGAUGAGUUCCUCACACUGGAAAGAGACCCCUGUGUGGCAGUAAUGCAUGCAGCCCUGAUGGUCUUUCAGGGCAGACAGGUGGGUAUAGUUCUGGGCUCUCCCUCCUAUAGGCCACAGGACUGGUCUUCAUUCUACCAGAUGCUUGGAAUUAACGUGCAAACAAGCACUACUGUCCCAUUAACCCAGCACUGUGAGUCGGAUAUUGUCUGUGGCAGCCUUGAGAGUUUUAUACAUGACUUCCUCCAACAUGGAUCUGGUCCAAGAGGGAGAGGCUUGGCACCUCUGCCUGACUGCCUCAUUCUUGGACAACCUCUGUCAAACAGAGAAUUAUGUUUCCCCAGGCUGUCCCAAAGCUCAGAGCUUGCACAUAAUCUGACUGAUAUCCUGCACUCUCUAAUGCCAACCUCAAAAAACAAUGCAGAUCAGUGCUUCAAGUUAAUGCACACAUUCCUCCACACACUCUCAACCCUCACCAAAGACAUCCAGCUACCAUUUGGAGAGGACAUGGCGUCAAUUUUCCAGCAAUUCUCAAAGCAGGCCAUUUGUCCGUAUCAGCAGUACAUGUUGAGGUUCCUGGAAACUUUCCUCAGGUCUACUUGUGACACACAGACAAAGGAAAAGUGCUAUGAGCUUCUGACUGCCACAGCAGUACAGAAUUGCAGUGAGGAACUCUGCAUAGAAUCUCUAUCCAAACUAUCAGACCUGGUAAGGAGUGGACGAUGGGCUCCGGCAGAUGCUUUGGACCUAUUCAUUUUCUUGGUGAAAAAGUUCAGAAAAGGGGAAAACCUUUUCACCUCGGUCCUGAAAGUGCUUCAUUCCCUGGAAAUCCACUGUGUCUGUCCCAGCUUCAGGGACAGAGAUGGAUGCUCAUUGACUCAGCUGCUAGAAUCUGAAGCCUCCACCACUCACCUAAUUUCUCGGCUCAGAGACUCCUUGAGCACAGAGGGUGAGAAGAGCCUGGAAGACAUUCUCCAAGAAAUGUGUGAAUCAAACAGAAGCAUCACAGAGACCACACUCCAAGAGGUGAGGGGCAUUCUAGCGUCUUGGCAGACUUGCAAGAUUAGGACGGUCCCAAAAUUUUCCAAAGGCUCCCUAAACUGUACUUUGAAGAGAGAGGAGCUGGCUGCAGUCCUGUUUGCUCUCUGCAAAGCUGUGUAUGAGACACAGGGCUGGUGGCCCAGAACAACUCAGAUAGUCAGCUGGUGUCUGCUGGCUCUCUCUGUCUCAGGGAGGCUGCUGCAGCUUGGAACAGGUGAGGGGAAGUCCUGUGUUGUAGCCAUGUUCACAGCCUUCAGGGCUCUGCGAGGGGAGAGAGUGGAUGUGCUCUCCAGCUCUCCCAUUUUGUCCAAGAGAGAUGCUGCUGAUUGGCGUCCAUUCUACAGCCUAUUUGAUGUCUCUGUCGACUGCAACACGGAUAAAGACAAAGACGAGGAUCGUAAGAGGUGCUACAGUUGUGAUGUAGUCUAUGGCACGGCUGAGAGCUUUGCCGCAGACUGCUUGCGCCAGAGCUUUGAAAUGAAGGAGGUGAGGCCUGGCCGUGGAUUUCAGUGCGUCAUUGUGGAUGAGGUGGACUCUCUCCUGUUAGACAAGGGAGUACAGAUGACCUAUCUCUCUACUGAUGUAGCUCCUAUGCAGCACCUAAAUAUUGUGCUGGCCAUGAUCUGGGGUAUCGUCAGCCAGUACGGUCUGGUGCCAACAGGCACGGGAACCAUGAUCCGAGGCCCCGUCCUGCCUUUUCACAAAGCCCUGUUUGACUCUGUGGAGACUGAAGAUGGUGUGGAGCCACUCACAUUCUUACAGCGGGCAGAGAACAGUGGGUUGAUACCCAAUGGCUUCUGCAAGGACUGUGACUCUACAAAGAAACUAACAGAGAAAUUAAAGACAGUGUCCCAGGACACAAUGCUGCAGUUUUUCCACUUGCCUGAGAAGGGGUUUAAAAGUUCAUCACUUUAUAAGUUCAUCACUUACACUCAAGACCAGCGAGGAACCCUGCUGCAUCACUCAGACAAUGACAGGGAAAGUGAGGGAGAAAAAAAUGAUCACAAGGUAUUUUUCUUGGUUCUGGAUGAAGGCCUGUGCUGUGCUCUGUAUGAGGAUGAGGAGACCCUCUGUGACGCCAUUGUGGAGGGUGUGAAAGAUCGGCUGCAGUUUAGCGCAUGUAAUCCAGACAAGAAUGAUAAAUGUCAAUGUGGAGCAGAUAAACACAAAACCAGAGUCCCUGGGUUCCUAAAAGAGCUGGUGGAAAAGAAUCUAAGGGUUUGGGUUCAAAAUGCCUUCCUGGCCGUCAAGGUGCAGGAGGGUCAGGAGUACAUAGUAGAUGGGGAACAAAUUCUCCCGGUGGAUUAUAGCUGCACCGGUAUCGUUGAGCGCAACAAGAAGUGGGGAAAUGGCCUGCAGCAGUUCCUGGAGAUGAAACACCAAACCAAGCUGAGCUGCAUGUCCAUCAUUACCAACUACCUCUCCAACGUGGCCUUCUUCAGGCAGUACGGGGGCCAGGUGUACGGCACCACUGGGACUUUGGGGACACAGUCAGAGAUCGAUCUGCUGCAGGAGCUCUACCCAGGCCUCUCCACCUGUGAGAUUCCAUCCUUCAACCGGAAAAAGCUGUCUGAGGUCAAGGGGGUGCUGGAGAGCAAUGUGGAUAAGUGGAGGGAGAGGAUUUGCUCCUCUGUCUUGGAGCAGACUCGUCCAACCUCCUAUCGAGAUGGAAGGGCAGCACUGGUCAUCUGUGAGUCUAUCAACCAAGCAAUGGACAUCCACAAGGCUCUCAAAGAGCAGGGGAGUGAGAAACAGCUCAGUCUCUAUACCAACAGCAACCAGGACAACUCCAGCAUCACAAGCCAGCUUCUCCGACCUGGGGAUGUGAUCGUGGCCACUAACUUGGCAGGUCGUGGAACAGACCUGCUUGUCUCCAAAGAGGUGAAUGGGGCCGGGGGACUGUUUGUAGUCGUCACCUUCCUGCCUGAUAACGCCCGAGUGGAGAUGCAGGCUUUCGGGCGCACGGCUAGGAAAGGGAGCCCUGGCUCGGCGCAGCUCAUCAUCUGCUCUGCACAUCUGCAGGAGCCCCUGAGAAAUGCGUCCACACUCCAGGAUGCCAGAGCAGCUAGAGACUCACUGGCCAUGGAUCAGGUAUCCCGUGUCCUGCAGGAUGAUAUCCCUGAGAUCUCCCUCAGAGAGGAGCUCUUUUCCCAAUAUUGCCAGAUUCUCAAAGGGAUCUACCAGCCCUUUUCCAAUUCAUCGUUAGGCAACUUAGACAUCUACAACAGCAAGCGCAGGGUGACAUUGGCAGUGCUGAACGAGUACUGGGGGAUUUGGCUGCUGAGAAAAUCGGAUGAGAUUGAAAAGUUGGAAAAAUCUCAGCUGAUGAAGAGCCUGGAGACUGAUAUAAAACGCGCCCAUCAGCAGUCCCAAGAAAACCUCUCUCCCUGUUCUAGCAUCUACCAUUUCAUCAAGUUUGGAAACAAAUUACUCGGUGAAAAUAAACUGAAGGAGAGCGCAGAGCUGUACAGUAGUGCCAUAGAGCUGGAUAGAUGCUGGGCUGCUAUUGCGCUCUAUAAACGUGCUUACUGCACUCUGAGGCAAAAACAAAAAGACUGUAUGGAAAAUGCAUCAAAAGACUUGGAGAAGGCCUUGGUUUCUGUGGAACUGUUUUUAGAACAAUGCACAAUAACCCAGCAACUGGUGAGCCUGUCAGAUAGAGACUCUGGGAAGACCAAGAGUGCCUUCCAGAAACAGAUGCAGGUCAGGAUACAAGUGCUCACAUACUUCCACAAUAACAUCAGCAGAGCAAUGGAGAAGCUUGAGUUGAUCAAACAGGAUAAAGAAGAAGCCCUUGUUGAUGAAAGCUCUGUCUUCAAUCUGGUCGAGGAUCCCAAUGACGAUGUUCACCAAGAGCUGUAUGAGUUUUACAAGCUGGGUAUGGAGAUGGUGUUUUCAGUGAAGCAGAAGCCCAGAUUCUGCUGGAAAGGCCUAGCUGUAUUCUUCCUGGGGGUGGCUCAGAUUGUGGGGGGGGUCCUCCUCACUGCAUUCACUGGUGGGGUGCUGCUACAAGUGGGGUUCCAGUACAUCAGUGAUGGGAUAUCAGACUGCAUCACUGGUGUGGAAGCCAUGAUCACAGGAACUUUCAGCUGGGCCUCCUGGGCUAUCAGCAAAGCUGUGUCCCUGGCUGUCUCACUCAUUGGCUUUGGAGUGGGAAAACUGAUCUCCAAGGGCUGGAGAGCCAGCAAAAAUGCCAUUAGUGGCUUUGGAAAAAAGCUCACCUCUCUUCCGAAACUAAUCUCUAACCAGGCCAAGGGUGGACUGCAGGCAGUCAUGAGAGAAAAUGUGAAAAACACUUUGAAAUAUGUUGGGAAGGAGGUUGUCCAGCAAACUGUAAUGUAUGGAGUGGGAAAAGUAGAGGAGAAAAUUAUUGAUGAAAUCACUAAUGAAAUUAAAGAAGUUGUCAAAACCACAGUCUUGGACAAGUGUAAAGACAGUAUUGGCUGCCAACCAAUGGGACCCUUGGUCGACAGGAUGGUGCUUGUGCACAUUGAAGAGCAAGGAUACCUCAGUGACCUUCUAGAUGAACCAGAGAAAAGAUCACGGAUGAAAAGGAUUUUUACAGAUAUCUGUGAAAAGGUUCUGAGGUCUCACUGUGCAGGCCUGGGCUGGCAAAAUCGUCUGCAUUCAUCCCUUCAGAGUGUCAUUAAAAGAGUUGCACAGGAGAAUAAUGGAAAGAUGAGAGCAGUUUGUAAAGCAAUUCAGGCAGCUCACAUGGGAGGUCUCUGUGUCGAUGCAAUUUAUUCAGCCAAAGAAGUUGCCAAUGAAUUCAACAGUGCAUUCUUGGAGGAGCUGCAGAAAAGAGUGAAAGAGCUUUAUGGAAAGAGAGGAACAGAUGAAAGUAAAAUAGAAGAGAAAAGAAAAAAUAUUUGUGGCAAUGACAUGGUGAAAUUAAAUGCAUUUAAAACAGAGGUGGCCGAAGUGAUGGCUUCUUGUCUGGCUGAAACAGUAUUCCAGGUUUUUCACCAGAAAUUCUCCAGCCACUUGGUUGGGCUCGCUCAAGAACAAAUAAAUGGCUACAUUGGUGGGUUCAUUUCCAAACGUCUGAUGACUGAUAGGACAAAAGAGAAGCUGGUAGGAGGCCUGAACAGCAGUUACAUAGCCAAUGCCCCACUAAGAAGGAAAUCCAAUAAACUUUCAAAAGUGGAAGAUCAACGUUUGGCAGAAACAUACGCAGAGGAAAUGAGGCCGCAAAGCACAUUCCCUCAUGAUUACAAUCCAGCCACCAUCCUGGAGGCCAGGUUACUGGCUGAAGAAAGCGGGAAGACUGUUGUUAUUUACAUCACAAACAGGCAAGGACAGAAAAUGAAAAUGUCUGUGGUUCAUCCCAGCCAGAGCUCCAAUCAGGGCAGUGUGAACCUACUGUACCAUCCCAGUAGUGAGCGUUAUCCCCAGGGUCACUACGACGCUCUGCACAAUGACCAGGUUGUGCCGGUCUCUGGCGAGGGGAACAAUUGCAUGUUCCAGGCGUUCGCUCGUGGCUUAGACCCUGAUGCCUCUGAUGAACAGAUCCACUCCAGGGCCUCCCAGCUGAGGCAGCAAGGGGCAGAUAUGGUCCUGAAGGAGCCGAACAAGUGGGUGCCGCUUAUCAAGUGCAGACAGAGGGCACUGGAGAUACGGGGAGGCAGCUGGUUCAUGGCAAAAGGGGGGAUGGAUAACCCAGAAAAUUGGGGUUUGGUUGAUACCUACUAUAACAACCGGAAACUACUGCAAGGUGUCAGUGUUAGUAAAAAUAUCCAUGCUGACCACCAGCCAGCAGUUGACAGUAUCUUACUUGCUUACAAAAUGGAUCCUGAAAGCAACCUGGCAAAGUCACUGAUAGAGAUAGGAACCAAUAAACCGUUCACCAGUGACUCCCUAAAGAAUCUGAAAAAACAGCAUGGACAGCACCUUAUAACUGUCACACUGCCUGAUCAAUUACACAGGAGUUGCCUCACCAAUUUAAAAGAAUUUAGAACUCUACAAGCUCAAUACAUUAGCAGUAAUGAUGUGGAGGGCUUUUUAAAGAUGUCUGUCCUGGCUGCCUCACCAGACCUAAUGUGUCUCCGGAAUAACACUCUGGUGAAUACACAGGCGAUGAAGAAUUACAAAGCUAUGUACCAAAACAGCAGUAAGAAGCUAAUUGACCAAUGGGCAGUUAAACUUGAAGGCAGAGGUUUCCAAGUACAGCGGGAGGUACAAAACGUGAAAAGCUGGCUUGGUGGGACAAUAGAAAAGAACGAUGCUCAUUACAAAGCAGCUUUGAAUACUAUAAAGCCGAAGAAUCAGAAUUCUGCUAGAAACAAUAACCAGACCAAGAUGAAUAAAUCUACUUUAAAUUGCCAGAACCAGGUAAGAAUGAUGGCUACUCAAUGAUUUCAAAUAAUUUUCACCUUUGCCAUUUACCCUGUCUUCUCUUGUUACAACUUCCAACAGAAACCAACAUUGAAGUAAAGGAAGAGAUUCAUGCAAUCCAUCAUUAUGUGGACUUCUAUAUGGACUCUUUCCUGUUCCAAAAAGUCUUUGCACUGUGCCCAACACCCGUUUCCUAGUCCUACUUAUCUUUAAUCCUCUGAAAAAUAUUGCCACCUCCAGGCCAGUGUUGAGAACUACAGUCAUGAAUGUCUUAUUUGUAAAAUGCUUUUGAUGAAGUGGAACUGGAAAAAUAACUAUCAACACUCAAUCUGCGUUUGAAUCCUGAAUGGCUACAUCUCCAGCUUCGGCCAUUCCCCUUUUUGCUUCUAUUGUUAUUUGCUUUUCAGUUAUACAGUGCCACUUCAGUAACGUUUCAAUAGCGCCAACUAAGAUCAGAUUAGAUUCAACUUGGACAAUGAACAGUACAAGUACAGUAUAAUGAAAUGCAGUUUGCAUCUAACCAGAAGUGCAAUUAGAAGAGGGCAGAAAAUAUAAAGUAUUAAGUAUAAUGUAUAUUACAAGUGUAAUGUAUAAAUGUGCAAUGAAGGCAAAUGCAAUUACAAAUGGCAAUUCUAAAUGUGCAAUGAAGGCAAUUGAAGGUGCAUGUGCAACUGAAAUGCAGGAAUAGCAGCAAUGAGGUUCCAGAGGUAGAUUUGUACAUGUAUCAACUGAAUAAUUCGUCAUUAUACUUUGCAAAGCUGUGUCAGUCAGAGAGAAAAUGACAAGUAUUAUUUAUAAUGUAUGUUGCAAGUGGGAUAUAUCGAUGUGCAAUGAAGGCAAAUGCAAUUACAAAUGGCAAUUCUAAAUGUGCAAUGAAGGCAAUUGAAGGUGCAUGUGCAACUGAAAUGCAGGAAUAGCAGCAAUGAGGUUCCAGAGGUAGAUUUGUACAUGUAUCAACUGAAUAAUUCGUCAAUAUACUUUGCAAAGCUGUGUCAGUCAGAGAGAAAAUUACAAGUAUUAUUUAUAAUGUAUGUUGCAAGUGGGAUAUAUCGAUGUGCAAUGAAGGCAAAUGCAAUUACAAAUGGCAAUUCUAAAUGUGCAAUGAAGGACAUUGAAGGUGCAUGUGCAACUGAAAUGCAGGCAUAGCAGCAAUGAGGUUCCCAAGGUAGACACUUGUGUAGCAACUGAAAAACGCCCUUAUCAGACUUUGUAAAGGAGUGUCAGACUCCAGUAGUACCAGGGAGUAGUGCCACAAGGUCCCUGAGCGACAGUGCUAAGAGGUGGGCGGGUGGGUAUGGUUAGUGAUGGGUGCAGAGUUCAGCAGGGUUACAGUAGUAGGGAAGAAACUGUUCCUGAGCCUGCUGGUGUGGGAACAAAGAGACCUGUACCACUUGCCUGAUGGGAGGAGGGCAAACAGUUUGUGGCAUGGAUGUGAAAGGUCCCUGGUGAUGCCGCGUGCCCUAUUCAGAUAUCGCUUGCACUGGAGUUCUACGAUGGUUGUGAGCUGGGCACCAAUGAGGUGCUGGGCUGUUUCCACCACCCGUUGCAGGGACUUCUGGUCGGCCACGUAGCAUCCGCCAAACCACACUGUGGGAAUGCUCUCGAUUGUGAAGCAGUAAAAGUCACAAGGAUCUUGGGAGACAGGCAGGCCUUCUUGAGCCUCCUUAAAGAGUGCAGGCGCUGCUUUGCCUUUUUGACCCGGGUUGAGGUUUUGAGGGUCAAGGAGAGGUCCUCGGAGAUGUGGUCACCCUGGAAUUUUAAGCUGGCCACACGCUCCAGCUCAGUGCCAUCGAUGAGAUCUGUGGCAUAACUGCCUUUAAACUUCCUGUUAUCCACAAUGUGCUCUCUGGUUUUCUUUGGUUAAUGGCCAGAUUAUUGUCAGCGCAUCAUGCCGCCAGGCAUUUGACCUCCUCCCUGUGACCUCAUCCCUUUUGAACCCAUAGCGGCUGUCUAUUGCAACGACGCAAAUGGCCUGGUGUCUUCAACAAUAGUUUUUGUGCAAAUAUCAAAGUAUAUUUCAAUAUUUAAAGUUUUAUACAUUUUUGUCUAGCGCUAAAGCCCCCACAGCCUUUCACUUUUUGUUGUUGUUUGGUGAAAAAGAAUUAGAAACAUCGUUGCUUUAUUAGUGUUAAUGAUGUCAGGGUAACUAACAUAAAUAGUCACAGCGAGUAAAUGUUUGGGGAUGUUUGAUGCAGUGAAAUUUUUGUAAUAUCUUUACGAUGACAACUCUGUUGUGUUUACGUGAUGGGCAAGCACAUCAACUGUGGAGCUCAAAUGAUUGUAAUUGAUUUGUAAUGGGAAGAGUUGCAGUGUUUAGGCUUUUUUAUUCGGCUAGCAAGUUUUCAUGUGUUUCUUCUGAUUUAAAUGUUUCUAUUUUAUAUAUAGAAAUUGCCCCAGCUGCUUGUCCUAGCUAACUACUCAGCCAACUGUCAGACCAUCUAGAAAAACUGUGGCCGCAAAUGUUUGCUUAGCCUGCAAAGCAACGAGAUGUCACUUUCACUAGCUAGCUAUGCGUUGUGGUGGUAAUGUUGUUCUAUGCUGAGAACUCUUGAUCGUGAUGAUAUCCUGAAUCUGCAUAAAGAUGUGUUUUCACUUAUCUAUACAAAGUAAUGUCUUGAGGUUUGUGUGCCUGUCACAUCCUGGCUAUGCCCCUAGCCAUCUCUGCGCUGGGCUCGGGCCAUAGUCAGGACCAGACAGAAAGGGGUGCCUCUAGGCACCUCUAGUGCCAUUUUGUUCUCUCCAAUUGGAGGUAGGUGUAAAUUGUUGCAUCCAAUUGGGGAACCUAUUUAUGUUCUAUGUUUGUCCACACCUGGUGUGGAUCAUUGUGUUUGUGCUACCUGUGCAACGUGAUCGGUUGCUGACUUGCUUUUGGUUUUCUCAUUAAACCAUGGAUUACCACGACUACGUGUCUGUGCCUGUGUCCUGCCUUCACAACCGUGACAGUCCAUUAUGGUUACUUUCUGAUCACAUGAGCUUUUUGAGCUUGAAUCAUUGCUGGCUCAAUCAUAAAGAGAGUUGUUGUGUUUAGUUUUAUGUUGUCAGCAAAGUAUUUCUUGUGACUACCCAUGUCAUUCAAUUAGAAACUACCCCAGCUGCUUGCUGUAGCUAGAUAGCUAUCUAGGUUAGCUAAAUAAGUUGUGUGGUGGAAAAUUUUAUGAUUGUGUCUAUAAUGGGAAAAGAUUUAUAUAAUUCCAAGUUACAAGAAUGCGAUAUCAAAUUAAAUACCAGUAUGUGCCCUAUAAAACAAAAUAAACUUAUAAC
Long non-coding RNA from Esox lucius (northern pike), 11596 nucleotides. The record is from Ensembl. Lineage: Eukaryota; Metazoa; Chordata; Actinopteri; Esociformes; Esocidae.